This 253-nucleotide ribosomal RNA is filed under the name uncultured bacterium. RNAcentral describes it as "partial 16S ribosomal RNA". It matches the Rfam family "Bacterial small subunit ribosomal RNA", at positions 524 to 776 of the family's 1533-position model. The record is from RNAcentral.
UACGUAGGGGGCAAGCGUUGUUCGGAAUCACUGGGCUUAAAGCGUGUGUAGGCGGAUCGUUAAGUGCCUUGUGAAAUCCCAUGGCUUAACCAUGGAACUGCUUGGCAUACUGGCGAUCUUGAGCCACUUAGGGGCAACCGGAACAAAUGGUGGAGCGGUGAAAUGCGUAGAUAUCAGGAGGAACACCUGUGGUGUAGACAGCUUACUGGACCACUUCUGACGCUGAGACACGAAAGCGUGGGUAGCAAACAGG